Myodes glareolus (Bank vole) is the source of this 1170-nucleotide non-coding RNA. Lineage: Eukaryota; Metazoa; Chordata; Mammalia; Rodentia; Cricetidae. The record is from RefSeq and is a predicted model, not a curated record.
GCAGAUCACCGAAGAGGCAGCAUGUAACUUGCCCAGCUGAAAAAGAAAUUGAAGAUAUAGUUGCUGAUUUCUUCACUCCACGUAAAGAAGACACCCGCUUGUUGAGAAUCAGUUCCAGUCUCCUGGAGCUCCAGAUCCAUCCAGAGGGCAUCCUGAACAAGGGGCAAAAUAAUGAGCAAAAGGACAGAACCAGAGGUGUGCAGAACACAUCAAGUUCCUGACCAGAUCCCAGGACAAGAGGUAAAAAUCCAGGUAAAACAGCCUUUUCAGGCUGUGGUUAAUGGUACUGGUUGCUCUUCCUGAGGACCCCAGGUUUGAUUCCUAGCACCACACAGAGAUUUACAACAGUCUGUAACUCAAGUUCCAGGGAGUCUGAUGCCCUCUUCUGGUCUCCAUGGGCACCAGGCACGCAGGCAAAAUACAGCCCUCUCCACCACUGCCAAAAAGAAAAAGGCGGGGAGGGGAGGGAGCAGAAACAGAAGGAGGAGUAGAAAAAGGAGAACAAUUUUUCCUAAUUUAGCCACCAUAUGCCAGCCUGCUGGAGAAGCUGUACCACAAAAUACAAAAGACCACGAUACCGACCUCAUCCUGCAUAGCAUCAGUGACUCCCGUAACUAAGUCUACGUAAGGUCAUCAUUGCGCAGGCGUGUAUGCCUUCCUGUGGUCAGAGAAUACAUGCUUUCAGCUAGGUGCAAAGGCACAGACUAUAUUCUCAGCACUUAGGACGGGAGGCAGGACUGUCACAAGUUCCAAGUAUGCCUAGGCCAAACAUGAGUUCCAGGCCAGCUCUUGCAGAGGACCCAGGCUCAAUUCCCAGCAUCCACAUGGGGGCUCACAACCAUCUCUAACUCCAAGUCCAGCCGCUCCAGUGCCGGCUUCUGAGAGCACCAGGCACACUGGUGGUGCACAGAGGGACAGGUAGGCAAAAAGACUCACAUAAAUAAAAUAAUAAAAUUAACUUUGAAGCAAACAAACAGCAGGCUUACUGGAGCAUGCCUGUCAUCCCAGCACAUCUGAAGUAGAGGAGGAGAGGACCAGAAACUCUCAAGGUCAUCUUUGGUUUUGGGACAAGUUCAAGGCUAAUUUCAGCUGUAUGAAAUGGUCUCCAAAAAAAAAAAAAUGGAGAGAGAACUGGCCAUAGAGCUCAAUGGUAAAGCACUUGUCUAGCCG